This 487-nucleotide ribosomal RNA is filed under the name uncultured bacterium. RNAcentral describes it as "partial 16S ribosomal RNA". It matches the Rfam family "Bacterial small subunit ribosomal RNA", at positions 30 to 504 of the family's 1533-position model. The record is from RNAcentral.
AUUGAACGCUGGCGGCAGGCCUAACACAUGCAAGUCGAACGGUAACAGGAAGCAGCUUGCUGCUUCGCUGACGAGUGGCGGACGGGUGAGUAAUGUCUGGGAAACUGCCUGAUGGAGGGGGAUAACUACUGGAAACGGUAGCUAAUACCGCAUAACGUCGCAAGACCAAAGAGGGGGACCUUAGGGCCUCUUGCCAUCGGAUGUGCCCAGAUGGGAUUAGCUAGUAGGUGGGGUAACGGCUCACCUAGGCGACGAUCCCUAGCUGGUCUGAGAGGAUGACCAGCCACACUGGAACUGAGACACGGUCCAGACUCCUACGGGAGGCAGCAGUGGGGAAUAUUGCACAAUGGGCGCAAGCCUGAUGCAGCCAUGCCGCGUGUAUGAAGAAGGCCUUCGGGUUGUAAAGUACUUUCAGUGGGGAGGAAGGGAGUAAAGUUAAUACCUUUGCUCAUUGACGUUACCCGCAGAAGAAGCACCGGCUAACUCC